CUUGGCCUGUUUGGAACCGCGUAGAGCAGAGUUCAUAUAGGCCUUCGUGUCCUUCGCUCGGGAUGUGCGGAACCGUGCCUCCGGGCAGGGACGGUAGCAAAUCUGGGAUCCCCCCCACAUACUGCAGAGUAAUGGGUCAGCUGGAAUUGCUCACAAGCCACCUCCACAGAACUGCAGGGCCAUCCGCAGCAGGGUGUGGGAAGAACCAUCACUGUGGUUAUGUUCAUCAGGGACUCAUCCUGUCCGUUCCCAGAGUCGAAUUCUUGGUUGGAGGGUGACAUGGAGUUCCCGGUGGAACUUGCUGCCUUUCACAGUCCAUUGGAGCUGGGAGUCAGAGACCUUCUUGUGUACCGCAACCCUCGCCAUGAACUGAUAACAGGGUGUGAACCUUCACCAGAGACCUCUGUGACUAAAGAACUAAAUCCAGGAACUGGGAUGAGUAGCAGGAAGUUAUUCUCAGACCUCUCAAUCUAUCAAGGCCCAAGUAUGGGACACAAUAUGUGACAAAGAUCCCAGAUGAGGAACACACACACAAAUUAUUAGUGCUGGAGACUUUAAAUGCUGUGGGUUCCCUUCUCCUAGUGUGAAUAACCCCCCUUCUGUACCCUCUGUUUCAUGAGUCUUUAUUUCUCAUUGUGAAUAACGUUCUACAACGAAAGUGAGGUGCCACCAUUUGGUAUGGAAUAUAGGUCACUUUAGAACUAGAAGCAGGCAUGGAAAAGCAAGACAGUGGAUCAGCCCCAGAGAGAGGGCACAUAACACACAUUGUACAGUGGGGUCCAGCUGUAAGACACACCAAUGAGUAUUUAGAUUGAGGGGAGCAAGCAGUCAGCUGCAUAGGAUGCGAUGGACUCCUUAUUCAGGCAAACUCAUGAAAAGUGUAAGAGCUCCACCUGUCUCCUCCUGACUCUUCUCAGCACCCUUGUGUUUAUAUUGCAUUUACUCACUCUGGCGCUGUUCAGUUAGCAUUAAAGCCAACCAAUAGGGAAACUGAGGCACAGAGCGGCAAAGUGAUUUGCCCACUGUCACACAGGAAGUCUCUAGCGGAGACCCAUGCCUCCUGACACCCAGUCCUUAGCCUGAAGUAUUAUUAUUAUUUAUUUGUAUUACCAUAGUGCUUGGGAGCUCCAGUCAUGGACCAAUGCCCCAUUGGAUUAGGUGGUGUAUAAGCUUCCUCCCAACAGCUAUAAAAAUCUUGGCCUGUGAGUGAUCUCGUGGGAAACAGGAUAAGCCCUCAUCACAGUGAUGAAGUUUACACUGUAUCAAGGUGGAAUACAGGAGGAAUGGAUGACUCAGGGUAUUGCUAAUGGGCAGUUGCCUCAACAUCCUGACCUGCACUCUAACAGACAUGCCAGUCGAGCUCUGGCAAAGUCCUCAAUCCUGACCUCAGAGCAGGUGACACAUAUGACCUCAAUGCAGUGAUAAAAACACCUGAGCCUGCAUGUGCCUUGUCUCCAUUCCAGCAUCCAAUGAAGCUGCACUGGUUGAGAAAUCCAGCUGAGAAGACUACUAAUGCAGUCCAGAGUUAUGCACAAAAGUGCAGAGGAAGAGAGUGGAGGCUUUUAGCGGUUGGGAAAUAAGGCCAAAGAAAGAAGAACAGGCACAUCAAUUACAUCCUAAAUAAAGAAAACUUAAGUGAAAGUCCUGGCUUCUAAAUUGUUUCUGGCCUGGCAGCUCUGUUCUCUUGGCAGAUGUAGCCUGAAGAAGGCUAAUGGGCCCAUUUAGGUUUUCCCUUUACACAAUGGCAUUGAGACAUUUCUGCCGUGGCAAAGGGGGUGUGUGUUAUUUCAGUUUCUUUCUUGAAAUCAGAUUGCAGAAUCUAUGUAAUAUUUUAAGGGCUCUGAUGAUCUCUGCUUGAGGAGGAUCUGCACUUCUCUGAGCAUUGAGCCAGGCGCCUCCCUCCAGUGUUGGCUGAGGGAAGAAAAUUGCAUGUGAAGUGCAAGGCUGACACCUGGAGGGGAACUGCUGAGAUGUAGCUAGCUAGGUCUUAAUGAGAAAGCCAGAAACUCCAUGCAAGAUGCAAACUCAGCUUCGGGAAUGUUGCAAGGGGAAGGAAAAGACCAGCUUCUUGGAUCCUGCCUCCUUUUCUAAUAAAGGAGUGGAGAUGAGUCUGAGAUGAGGCAAACUCUCCAUCCAAUCUGGAUCUGCGCUCCCUCACAGUUCAGGUGUGUUUGGAUCCAGGACCCAUCCCUACCUACCAGUUGUUUUGCACCAUCUAAG
Molecule: long non-coding RNA, 2220 nt
Organism: Chelonia mydas (Green sea turtle)
Lineage: Eukaryota; Metazoa; Chordata; Testudines; Cheloniidae
Exons: 3
Source: RefSeq, a predicted model, not a curated record